Molecule: long non-coding RNA, 2264 nt
Organism: Trachemys scripta elegans
Lineage: Eukaryota; Metazoa; Chordata; Testudines; Emydidae
Exons: 2
Source: RefSeq, a predicted model, not a curated record
CUUUCUCAUUUUUGCCAUCUAAUUAUAAAAUAAAUCAAUUUGAAUAUAAAUAUUGUACUUACAUUUCAGCACAUAGUAUUUAUAGCAGUCAUUUAGACAAGUCGUAUGAAAUUUUAGUUCGUACUGACUUCGCUAGUGCUUUUUACAUAGCCUGUUGUAAAACUAGGCAAAUAUCUAGAUGAGUUGAUGUACCCCCUGGAAGACCCCUGCAUACCACUGGUUGGAACCAUUGACUUAGGGUAUGUCUAAACUGCAACGUAAACCUGGGAUCAGACUAAGGUGUGAGCCCAAAAUCUCUUUCUGUCUAUACACAAAUCUCUCAGACUCGGGCUUGGACCUAGGGACCUAGGACCCAAUGGGGCUGGAGGAUCUGAGCCCCAGUCAAGCUGUGACCAAGGGUUCAAGUCCUAUUGCUUUGCAGUGUAGACACAGCCUCCGCCUCCCCCUCCCCCCCGACUUGGGUCCUGGAAGUCCACCAGAAGUAUCCCACAAUCCCAUGGGCCAACUUCCUUUGUCCUUUCUAUCCCAAGAAUCUCCAGUCGACUCCAGUGAAAACAGGAGCAACUCCCCUUGGUGUACAGCAGCAGCUCAGUGAGUCAACGUUAACCCUUCCUUUGUCUUCUGACCACUCAGCUGCAAAUGCACCGUCAGAGAGCCUUCUGUGUUUGCAGGGAAGACUGAACAGCAUGUUGCUUCACGGUCGUGGGAGAUUUUGGUAAAUCUCUGGUGCAAGGCCAGCAAAACUGUGGACUUUAGUGAGAGUACUAGGAAUGACGACGCAUAUGCAAAUAGCGAAGCAGCUGGCAGCUUUGCACAUUUACCAGACUGGUGGCCAGUGCAGGGAGCAGAUGGAGCAGCUCAAAAGUGAGUAUCGGAAAACCAGGGACCAGAACCGCUCCUCAGGCAACUUGCCGACGACAUGUCAGUUUUAUGAGGAGUUUGACCAGCUGCUGGGCACAAUGGUGGCGGCGGCGAUGACGAGCUGCUCAGCUGGUCCCCUGCUGGCCUCAGAAUCCAGCAUGGGGACUGAUGGGAGCCAGCAGCAGGCACCAAGGGAGGACAGUGGACUCACUCUGUCACUGGAACCAGUCCCAAAGCAGGUUUGGAGCAGGAGCAGCAGCAACACAUUCUGGGCCUACACUUGAAGGAGCCAUUUGAUGUUCCCCAGAGAAACCGCCUGCUGCAGAGCUGAUAGAAGCCACCCCUGAGCCUGGCCCCUUGACUUCUACUGAUUGCAGCAUCUCCACAGCUAGUCCACAUGGCAGCAGAAGCCUGGGCCAACGGACCUUCAUGGACUAUUCCAAGAGGAAGCGUUUCCAUGAUGAACUUGUGGUUGAAGUUCUGGAGAGGGCCAACAAACAGAUCCUGUAUCAAAGACGGAGGGAUUUGUGGCUAGAGGAAAGGCCUGGCAAGAGCCGGAGGAAAGGCUCAGGAUGGCCGCACAUCUUGAGGACAGGGUUUCAGUGCAAUAGCAGGCACUUGCUUUGUAGUUCCUGGAACAGGAAUGGCAGCCAAGGGAGAAAGACCGAGCUCAGCAGAAACAACAGUUUGAGCGGCUCCUGCCACUAAUGACUGCAAGAGUAGUGGCUCCUGCUGCAUCACCCACACCACAACCUGAGUGCCCUGCAUGCUGCCUACCCUGUGCUGCAGUCCAGAAGCAGCUUGGAAGACUCCCAAGGCUGAAAGAAGAACAGGAGUAUUUGUGGCGCUUUAGAGACUAACAAAUUUAUUAGAGUAUAAGCUUUCGUGGGCUACAGCCCACUUCUUCGGAUGCAUCCGAAAGCUUAUGCUCUAAUAAAUUUGUUAGUCUCUAAAGUGCCACAAGGACUCCUGUUCUUUUUGCGGAUACAGACUAACACGGCUGCUACUCUGAAACCUCCCAAGGCUGAGUGGUACAUGCAGUCAGGGCCCAUGAGCGGCUGGACAGGGCAACCUUGCCCCAUGCAGCCCUCCAUAUUGACCCUCUCCCCUGUGGAUGCCUCCACCCCACUUCCUACAGUGCUAAAUGCAUGGCAAAUGGGGAAAGAAGGAAAAGGAGAAACGGGUUGCCAGGGGACGUGCCAUGGUAGGGGGUUUCUGUCUUCCACAUGGCUUCACUGUUUGUACUGUUUAUAUGCACUUUGUUUUUAUUUUUUUUUCCCCUGUAAGAUUCUGUCAUUACUGGUGUUUUGGUGUAGUAAUUGGGGCUGACCUGCCUGGGAAUGGAUGAAUAUUGUACUUUUCUAAUACAUGUUUAUAAAUAAAGCUUUUUAUUUAUUCAGGAA